GAUGAAGAACGUAGCGAAAUGCGAUAAGUAGUGUGAAUUGCAGAAUUCAGUGAAUCAUCGAAUCUUUGAACGCACAUUGCGCCUCCUGGUAUUCCGGGAGGCAUGCCUGUUCGAGCGUCAUUUCAACCCUCAAGCCCCGCUUGGUGUUGGGCCCCGCCCGCUGUGGCCGGCCCUAAAGACAGUGGCGGCGCCGCCUGGCCCUCAGCGUAGUACAUCUCUCGCUCCAGGGUCCGGUGGCCGCCUGCCAGAACCCCCCAACUCUGUGGUUGACCUCGGAUCAGGUAGGGAUACCCGCUGAACUUAAGCAUAUCAAUAAGCGGAGGA
RNAcentral lists this unclassified non-coding RNA (324 nucleotides) under soil metagenome. RNAcentral's name for it is "partial contains 5.8S ribosomal RNA, internal transcribed spacer 2, and large subunit ribosomal RNA". The stretch from base 1 to 120 matches the Rfam family "5.8S ribosomal RNA", at positions 35 to 154 of the family's 154-position model. The record is from RNAcentral.